RNAcentral lists this transfer RNA (88 nucleotides) under Catellatospora citrea. Its description in RNAcentral is "tRNA-Pro". Lineage: Bacteria; Bacillati; Actinomycetota; Actinomycetes; Micromonosporales; Micromonosporaceae. The record is from RNAcentral.
CCGUGGUGGCCGGGGCGAUGCUCGUCGCCGGGUGCGGCGGCAAGUCGGAGCCGCAGGCGAGUCCGUCGUUCGAGACGACGGUGACGGA